This 109-nucleotide ribosomal RNA is filed under the name Staphylococcus aureus. Its description in RNAcentral is "partial 16S ribosomal RNA". It matches the Rfam family "Bacterial small subunit ribosomal RNA", at positions 1 to 104 of the family's 1533-position model. The record is from RNAcentral. Lineage: Bacteria; Bacillati; Bacillota; Bacilli; Caryophanales; Staphylococcaceae. RNAcentral also lists the same sequence under 2 other names.
UUUAUGGAGAGUUUGAUCCUGGCUCAGGAUGAACGCUGGCGGCGUGCCUAAUACAUGCAAGUCGAGCGAACGGACGAGAAGCUUGCUUCUCUGAUGUUAGCGGCGGACG